Molecule: ribosomal RNA, 108 nt
Filed under: Triticum aestivum (bread wheat)
Lineage: Eukaryota; Viridiplantae; Streptophyta; Magnoliopsida; Poales; Poaceae
Description: partial small subunit ribosomal RNA
Source: RNAcentral
AUGCUAUUUUUUCCAUUCAUUACCAUUGAGGAUCAGUCGUGGUCUUCUAGACUCUACCAAGAGUCUGGACGAAUUUGUUGUUUCAUCCAAAUGUGUAAAAGAUCAUAG